RNAcentral lists this ribosomal RNA (1280 nucleotides) under Salmonella enterica subsp. enterica. RNAcentral's name for it is "bacterial LSU rRNA". It matches the Rfam family "Bacterial large subunit ribosomal RNA", at positions 1 to 1211 of the family's 2925-position model. Lineage: Bacteria; Pseudomonadati; Pseudomonadota; Gammaproteobacteria; Enterobacterales; Enterobacteriaceae. The record is from RNAcentral.
GGGUUGUGAGGUUAAGCGACUAAGCGUACACGGUGGAUGCCCUGGCAGUCAGAGGCGAUGAAGGGCGUGCUAAUCUGCGAUAAGCGCCGGUAAGGUGAUAUGAACCGUUAUAACCGGCGAUACCCGAAUGGGGAAACCCAGUGUGAUUCGUCACACUAUCAUUAACUGAAUCCAUAGGUUAACGAAGCGAACCGGGGGAACUGAAACAUCUAAGUACCCCGAGGAAAAGAAAUCAACCGAGAUUCCCCCAGUAGCGGCGAGCGAACGGGGAGGAGCCCAGAGCCUGAAUCAGCAUGUGUGUUAGUGGAAGCGUCUGGAAAGGCGCGCGAUACAGGGUGACAGCCCCGUACACAAAAGCGCAUGUGCUGUGAGCUCGAUGAGUAGGGCGGGACACGUGGUAUCCUGUCUGAAUAUGGGGGGACCAUCCUCCAAGGCUAAAUACUCCUGACUGACCGAUAGUGAACCAGUACCGUGAGGGAAAGGCGAAAAGAACCCCGGCGAGGGGAGUGAAAAAGAACCUGAAACCGUGUACGUACAAGCAGUGGGAGCCCCACCACCAAAGCAUUCUCUGGUGUUGAAGGCCCUGCAAAGCAGCAUCGCGGUGGCGGAGCGUCGUUUGCGACGCCCAACACACAAAACAAGCGGUGAGUGCUUUGGGGUGGGGUGACUGCGUACCUUUUGUAUAAUGGGUCAGCGACUUAUAUUCUGUAGCAAGGUUAACCGUAUAGGGGAGCCGAAGGGAAACCGAGUCUUAACUGGGCGUUAAGUUGCAGGGUAUAGACCCGAAACCCGGUGAUCUAGCCAUGGGCAGGUUGAAGGUUGGGUAACACUAACUGGAGGACCGAACCGACUAAUGUUGAAAAAUUAGCGGAUGACUUGUGGCUGGGGGUGAAAGGCCAAUCAAACCGGGAGAUAGCUGGUUCUCCCCGAAAGCUAUUUAGGUAGCGCCUCGUGAACUCAUCUUCGGGGGUAGAGCACUGUUUCGGCUAGGGGGUCAUCCCGACUUACCAACCCGAUGCAAACUGCGAAUACCGAAGAAUGUUAUCACGGGAGACACACGGCGGGUGCUAACGUCCGUCGUGAAGAGGGAAACAACCCAGACCGCCAGCUAAGGUCCCAAAGUCACAGUUAAGUGGGAAACGAUGUGGGAAGGCUCAGACAGCCAGGAUGUUGGCUUAGAAGCAGCCAUCAUUUAAAGAAAGCGUAAUAGCUCACUGGUCGAGUCGGCCUGCGCGGAAGAUGUAACGGGGCUAAACUGUGCACCGAAGCUGCGGCAGCGA